RNAcentral lists this ribosomal RNA (685 nucleotides) under uncultured Candidatus Poseidoniales archaeon. RNAcentral's name for it is "bacterial SSU rRNA". It matches the Rfam family "Archaeal small subunit ribosomal RNA", at positions 1 to 692 of the family's 1478-position model. The record is from RNAcentral. Lineage: Archaea; Methanobacteriati; Thermoplasmatota; Candidatus Poseidoniia; Candidatus Poseidoniales.
UUCCGGUUGAUCCUGCCGGAGGCUACCGCUAUUGGAGUUCGAUUAAGCCAUGCGAGUCGAGAGUCUUAGGGACUCGGCGUACCGCUCAGUAACACGUGGGUAACCUGCCCUAUGCUGGGGAAUAACCUCGGGAAACUGAGAAUAAUACCCCAUAGUUCACCACGCCUGGAACGGUGGGUGGAUGAAAGCUCCGGCGGCAUAGGAUGGGCCUGCGACGUAUCAGGUUGUAGGGGGUGUAACGUACCCUCUAGCCAUCAACGCGUACGGGUGUUGGGAGACAUAGCCCGGAGAUGGAUUCUGAGACACGAAUCCAGACCCUACGGGGUGCAGCAGGCGCGAAAACUUGGCAAUGCGAGCAAUCGUGACCAGGGAACUCCAAGUGGCUGGGGUAAUACCCAGUUUUUUCUUGACUCUUCAAAGGUCUUGGAAUAAGGGGUGGGUAAGGACGGUGCCAGCCGCCGCGGUAAUACCGGCGCCUCAAGUGGUAGUCGCUUUUAUUGGGCCUAAAACGUCCGUAGCCGGUCUGGUGCAUUCGUGGGUAAAUCAACCCGCUCAACGGGUUGAAUUCUGCGAGCACGGCCAGACUUGGGACCGGGAGAGGUGUGGGGUACUCUCAGGGUAGGGGUAAAAUCCUGUCAUCCUGAGAGGACCACCUGUUGCGAAGGCGCCACACUAGAACGGAUUC